GAUGAACGCUGGCGGCGUGCCUAACACAUGCAAGUCGAGCGAACCCUUCGGGGUGAGCGGCGGACGGGUGAGUAACGCGUGGGUAACCUGCCCUGUACACACGGAUAACAUACCGAAAGGUAUGCUAAUACGGGAUAAAGUACGAGAGUCGCAUGGCUUUUGUAUCAAAGCUCCGGCGGUACAGGAUGGACCCGCGUCUGAUUAGCUAGUUGGUAAGGUAACGGCUUACCAAGGCAACGAUCAGUAGCCGACCUGAGAGGGUGAUCGGCCACAUUGGAACUGAGACACGGUCCAAACUCCUACGGGAGGCAGCAGUGGGGAAUAUUGCACAAUGGGCGAAAGCCUGAUGCAGCAACGCCGCGUGAGCGAUGAAGGCCUUCGGGUCGUAAAGCUCUGUCCUCAAGGAAGAUAAUGACGGUACUUGAGGAGGAAGCCCCGGCUAACUACGUGCCAGCAGCCGCGGUAAUACGUAGGGGGCUAGCGUUAUCCGGAAUUACUGGGCGUAAAGGGUGCGUAGGCGGUCUUUCAAGCCAGAAGUGAAAGGCUACGGCUCAACCGUAGUAAGCUUUUGGAACUGUAGGACUUGAGUGCCGGAGAGGUAAGCGGAAUUCCUAGUGUAGCGGUGAAAUGCGUAGAUAUUAGGAGGAACACCAGCGGCGAAGGCGGCUUACUGGACGGUAACUGACGUUGAGGCUCGAAAGCGUGGGGAGCAACCAGG
This 718-nucleotide ribosomal RNA is filed under the name uncultured Clostridium sp. RNAcentral's name for it is "bacterial SSU rRNA". It matches the Rfam family "Bacterial small subunit ribosomal RNA", at positions 28 to 776 of the family's 1533-position model. Lineage: Bacteria; Bacillati; Bacillota; Clostridia; Eubacteriales; Clostridiaceae. The record is from RNAcentral.